GGGGAAUUUUCCGCAAUGGGCGAAAGCCUGACGGAGCAAUACCGCGUGAGGGAGGAAGGCUCUUGGGUUGUAAACCUCUUUUCUCAGGGAAUAAGCAAGUGAAGGUACCUGAGGAAUCAGCAUCGGCUAACUCCGUGCCAGCAGCCGCGGUAAUACGGAGGAUGCAAGCGUUAUCCGGAAUGAUUGGGCGUAAAGCGUCCGUAGGUGGCUGUGUGUGUCUAUUGUUAAAGAGUUUGGCUCAACCAAAUAAGGGCGGUAGAAACUACACAGCUAGAGUGCGUUCGGGGCAGAGGGAAUUCCUGGUGUAGCGGUGAAAUGCGUAGAGAUCAGGAAGAACACCGGUGGCGAAAGCGCUCUGAUAGGCCGCAACGACACUGAGGGAUCAAUUGGAA
RNAcentral lists this ribosomal RNA (392 nucleotides) under Fischerella muscicola VB519181. RNAcentral describes it as "bacterial SSU rRNA". It matches the Rfam family "Bacterial small subunit ribosomal RNA", at positions 356 to 763 of the family's 1533-position model. The record is from RNAcentral. Lineage: Bacteria; Bacillati; Cyanobacteriota; Cyanophyceae; Nostocales; Hapalosiphonaceae.